AUCAUGCCGCUCUUGGUGAGGUAGCUCUCGAACGCCUGCCGUCGGAGCGGCGAGCCGUCGUACGACUCGGCCAGCGGCGACGCCGCCGACGCGCCCCUCGGGCUGGACUGCUGCUGCUGCGGCAGGACGCGGAGCUGGUCCGGCGUGUGCGCGAAGAAGCAGACGCGGCGGCGGCAGCCGGUGCCGUCCUUGCAGGGCUGCGUGCGGUAGCGGGACGGGUGGAGCCAGCACUCGAACACCCCGUGCGCGUACUCGCACGCGUCGCCGCGCUUGCACCCGCCCUUGCGGAAGUCCGGGCACGCCGCGCCGGAGUAGUGGUACCGCCGCGGGUCGCGGCGCCGGGCUUUCUCCCCCGGGUGCGCGUAGGGGCAGUCCGUCCAGUCGUGGCUCCGCCCGCGGGAGCACCGCCGCACCUUGAACUCGUACAUCCGGAACUCGUCGCAGGCGUACGCGUCCACCCCGGCCGCCAGGGCCGCCUCCUCGUCGUCCUCGUCGUACGGCGCCGCCGCCGCCGACACCUCGUUGGACGGCAGGUAAUGCUGCAGCGCCGCCAGGAGGGCGUACGGCGACGCCGCCUCAUCCGCGUCCAUGCUGGCCG
RNAcentral lists this long non-coding RNA (598 nucleotides) under Sorghum bicolor (sorghum). Its description in RNAcentral is "long non-coding RNA (SBIC_LNC015535)". The record is from RNAcentral. Lineage: Eukaryota; Viridiplantae; Streptophyta; Magnoliopsida; Poales; Poaceae.